Molecule: RNA transcript, 1268 nt
Organism: Equus quagga
Lineage: Eukaryota; Metazoa; Chordata; Mammalia; Perissodactyla; Equidae
Gene: ANKRD45
Gene name: ankyrin repeat domain 45
Exons: 7
Source: RefSeq, a predicted model, not a curated record
UUGGAGUUAAUGGAGUCAGAAGGACCCCAAGAUUCAGAGAGUUCAGAAAAAUCAGCAUUUUUCUCACAGCAUGAAGAAGAGGAAGAAGGUGAAGAUGAAGAAGCAGCCAGAGAACCAGAGGAAACAGGCACCAUUAAUCCCCUAUUACAGCCUGCUCUCACAGGGGAUGUAGAAGGUUUGCAGAUGAUUUUUGAGGAUCCUGAGAACCCUCAUCAUGAACAGGCCAUGCAGCUACUCUUGGAAGAAGAUAUCGUUGGCAGAAAUUUGUUGUAUGCAGCUUGCAUGGCUGGGCAAAGUGAUGUGAUUAGAGCUUUGGCAAAAUAUGGUGUGAAUCUGAAUGAAAAAACGGCCAGAGGUUAUACACUCUUACACUGUGCUGCAGCCUGGGGUCGUUUGGAAACUUUGAAAGCACUGGUGGAAUUGGAUGUUGAUAUAGAAGCUCUGAACUUCCGGGAAGAAAGAGCUCGAGAUGUUGCUGCUCGGUAUUCCCAGACUGAGUGUGUUGAAUUCCUGGACUGGGCAGAUGCAAGGCUGGCUCUGAAGAAAUAUAUUGCGAAGGCCUCUGCAGCUGUUACAGACACAGAAAAGGGACCAGGGAAGCUCUUUAAGGAAGACAAGAAUACCGUCCUCAAUGCAUGCCGUGUAAGAAAUGAGUGGUUGGAAACCCAUUUGGAAGCUUCAAUUAAUGAGAUUUUUGAGCAGAAGCAACAGUUGGAAGAUAUUGUGACUCCUAUCUUGACAAAAAUGGGUACACCACGUCAAACAAAAGGUUCCAAAGCUGUCGUCUAAGCCUUGGUGAGAAAAGAAGUCAAGAUCAUACCUUCUACUGAACAGAUAUUUUAUAAAAGGCUGCAUUUUCUUCUAGGAUUUGUAAAGGCAAACCCAUUCAUGCCAGUUGAAGAAAAUAGAUGUGGAGUUUUAUAAAAAUAGCAUGUGGUCCUGGCCAUUAGAGAAGGAUUCCUGAAUCUCACCUCAAAGUUUCCUAGAUCAUAACAGGUGAUACCUAAUUCCCUUGAGAUGCUCGCUCUUGGAAACCAGCUUGUGGAGAGACUCACGUGGACAGGAACUGAGGCUCCAGCCCAUAGCCCGUGCUGAGCUCCAGCCAGCAGUCAUCCCCAACUUGCCAGCCAUAUGAGUGAGCCAUCUUGGAAAUGGAUCCUCCAGUCGAGCCACCACAGCUGAUGCUGUAUGGAGCAGACACAGCCUUCUCUGUUGAGCCUUGCCAAAAUUGUAGAUUUCACCUAAAUAAAUGAUUGUUGUUGUUUUAA